This 1091-nucleotide ribosomal RNA is filed under the name Thorea mauitukitukii. RNAcentral describes it as "partial large subunit ribosomal RNA". It matches the Rfam family "Eukaryotic large subunit ribosomal RNA", at positions 97 to 1118 of the family's 3401-position model. Lineage: Eukaryota; Rhodophyta; Florideophyceae; Thoreales; Thoreaceae. The record is from RNAcentral.
AGCGGGAACAGCCCGGGAUGAAAAUCUCCUCGGAGAAUUGUAUUCCGAGUGUCCCCUGGGUGGUCAGUGCGGGAAAGUUGUCUGGGAUGACACGCCACGGAGGGUGAGAGCCCCGUCCAACCCGCACAGGAUCCAUUCGUACAGGGACGCUUCAACCGAGUCGGGUAGUUUGGGAAUGCUGCUCUAACAUGGUGGUAAAUCUCAUCAAAGGCUAAAUAAAAGUGGGAGACCGAUAGCGAACAAGUACCGUGAGGGAAAGAUGGAAAGUACUUUGAAAAGAGAGUGAAAAGCACUUGAAACCGUCACGGGGGAAGCGAAUUGCGUUAGUGAUGUUUUUGCCUGUUCAGCUUUUUUCUGCCGAGAAAAAUUAUUUUUUUUUCGCAAUAAGUGUAUUCUGGCAAAAACGUGCUUGUGUGGCUGGCGGGAGUGCGAUGAGACGGUGAUUGGCUGUUCCAUUGUCAAUCUUUUCAAAAAUUUUUUGGGAAGUUUGGUUGGAAUGUUGUUCUACCGACCCUCGGCAACUCUUUUUAACGCUGGUGAGGGCUCCCUCAGUAUUCGAGGUGAGGACAUGAGCGAAAUGACGCAAUACGACCCGUCUUGAAACACGGACCAAGGAGUCUAGCACGGCUGCGAGUCGAAAGGUGAUUAAAACCUAUAGGGCGCAGUGAAAGCGAAGAACAAAAAAACAUCAAAGCAAAUUGGGGAGGCGUUGCGGUUUUACCAAAAUGUCCUACCUUGAGCAUCCGUGCUGGGACCCGAAAGAUGGUGAACUAUGCCGGAGUAGGGCAAAGCCAGAGGAAACUCUGGUGGAGGCUCGUAGCGAUGCUGACGUGCAAAUCGCUCGUCGAACUUGGGUAUAGGGGCGAAAGACUAAUCGAACCAUCUAGUAGCUGGUUCCCUCCGAAGUUUCUCUCAGGAUAGCGGGCCGACAAAAAACUCUUUUUGAAUGUUGUUUUGUGUGGUAGAGCGAAUGAUUAGUGCAUUUGGGGGCCGAAGGCCUUCGGGCGAUUCUCAAACUUCAAAUACGCAAGGGGGCCGCUGCUUCACCGUUUGGACAAGGAGGGGGGAUUGGGGGAAAAAAUUUAUUUUUU